This 367-nucleotide ribosomal RNA is filed under the name uncultured organism. RNAcentral describes it as "bacterial LSU rRNA". It matches the Rfam family "Bacterial large subunit ribosomal RNA", at positions 2099 to 2465 of the family's 2925-position model. The record is from RNAcentral.
CUUUACUGUAGCCUGGUAUUGGGUUCGGGCUUUGCUUGCGCAGGAUAGGUGGGAGACGUUGAAGCAUCUCUUGUGGGAGGUGUGGAGUCAACGGUGAGAUACCACUCUGGCGGAGCUAGAAUUCUAACCCUUACCCAUUAUCUGGGAAGGGAACCGUAUCAGGUGGGCAGUUUGACUGGGGCGGUCGCCUCCUAAAAGGUAACGGAGGCGCGCAAAGGUUCCCUCCGGCUGGUUGGAAAUCAGCCUGAGAGUGCAAAGGCAUAAGGGAGCUUGACUGUGAGACUGACAGGUCAAACAGGGACGAAAGUCGGCCUUAGUGAUCCGACGGCACUGAGUGGAAGGGCCGUCGCUCAACGGAUAAAAGUUA